CCUACGGGUGGCAGCAGUGAGGAAUAUUGGUCAAUGGACGAGAGUCUGAACCAGCCAAGUAGCGUGAAGGAUGACUGCCCUAUGGGUUGUAAACUUCUUUUAUAUGGGAAUAAAAUGUUCCACGUGUGGGUUUUUGUAUGUACCAUAUGAAUAAGGAUCGGCUAACUCCGGGCCAGCAGCCGCGGUAAUACGGAGGAUCCGAGCGUUACCCGGAUUUAUUGGGUUUAAAGGGAGCGUAGGUGGUUUGUUAAGUCAGUUGUGAAAGUUUGCGGCUCAACCGUAAAAUUGCAGUUGAAACUGGCAGUCUUGAGUGCAGUAGAGGUGAGCGGAAUUCGUGGUGUAGCGGUGAAAUGCUUAGAUAUCACGAAGAACUCCGAUGGCGAAGGCAGCUCACUGGACUGCAACUGACACUGAGGCUCGAAAGUGUGGGUAUCAAACAGGAUUAGAUACCCUUGUAGUC
This 460-nucleotide ribosomal RNA is filed under the name uncultured bacterium. RNAcentral's name for it is "partial 16S ribosomal RNA". It matches the Rfam family "Bacterial small subunit ribosomal RNA", at positions 338 to 795 of the family's 1533-position model. The record is from RNAcentral.